UGGUUCUGGAGUUGACACAGUAGUCAAG
Molecule: small RNA, 28 nt
Filed under: Bombyx mori (domestic silkworm)
Lineage: Eukaryota; Metazoa; Arthropoda; Insecta; Lepidoptera; Bombycidae
Description: ovarian small RNA-35222
Source: RNAcentral